Molecule: long non-coding RNA, 1542 nt
Organism: Lethenteron reissneri (Far Eastern brook lamprey)
Lineage: Eukaryota; Metazoa; Chordata; Hyperoartia; Petromyzontiformes; Petromyzontidae
Source: RefSeq, a predicted model, not a curated record
CGUCGUGCUGCAGGAGUCUUCGUCACCGUCUUUACCUCCCCGUCGUUGUUGGUCAGGCAGCCUGUUACCUGUCCUGACCACAGUGUCGUUACUCCCUGUACCUGUGAAGACUAUAAUAGAGUGCCUCCCACUAUUAGUGUAUCUGAGUGACUCACUACACAUGUGCUGUUCUUAUUUAUAUUAAUUUUUUCCCUUUGAACCUUUUCAUCGUAAUAGUCCCCGGAUUUGCUUCAACAUCAACCGAAAAUAAAGGUCCAUGGUAAACAAAGUGUCGAUCAUUGUGAUGAGAAUCCUGAUGUUUGAUUUACAAAUAAAUGUCAUGGUGAGACAAUUACCCAAUGAUCACAGUGAAGCUGGUUGUUUUUCUUAUAAAAGUGUGGUAACUUUUAACGUUUGUCCAAAAGUCAUGAGCCAUGGUUAUGCAAAAAUUUCCAGUCAGGAAACAUUUACAAUGAAUAUGAAUAUACAUUGAUAUGGCAUCUUGCAAAGCGACCGGCUUUGACUGGAAGAUAUGAAAAAAACCUGUCAUCGUUUUCAAAUAUACAGUGAACAUCAGCCUACAUCCAGGUGUAUGAAUACGGAUCGUGAUGAAACGAGGCGGGUGCGUCACUGACAGUUCCCUUAAGCAGAGACUUCGCUGAAUGGAAGGCGCAGAGCUCACAGUGGAUGUCCUGCGCUACUCCGGGCUGUUUGUAUGAAGAUCAGAGACGCUACAGAACGGCGUGAACAACUUAUAACGGUUGCUCUUCACAAGGCUCUUUCAGCCGAGUUUCCCCCCACAGGAACAACACAAUCUGUGGGACAGCAGAAGCACAAACCUGCAAGAUCGUUGAUGAGUUCUGUCCCUUUGACCUUUUGUGGGUAGCAGCAUGUCUUCAAAGGGCAGCUACGAUUCAAUUUACGUUUUCGACAUCAUUUCUUUAUUUACGAGGUUUUUUUUCCAACAAUGAGCCAUGUGUUGCUUGCCAGAUGAUGUUCAACGAAUUUCAUCAAGAAGAAACGUUUUAGAAUCAGUGCUUUUUGAACUGUGUGAGGAUGCAUAUGAGAGCAAUACUCCCCAUAAACAUUUAUAUUUAUAUGUCAAAGAAUAGCAACUACUCUGAACAUAAUCUGUUAUAAUGCUAAUUUAAACCACAUGAUUUAUUAAAUGUAAUGUUACAGUCGUGUUAUGUUUGUUUGGCCCAUUUUCUACUUAUAAUGCCAACAUUUCCAGAAGAAAAAAACAUGUUUUAAUCAAGAUGUUGAUUAUUUACAAAUGUUUUAAAUAAUUGUCAUCAAUGAAUAUUACCAAGGAUUCAAGCCAUAUAUUUAAAUUGUGUUAAAUGCUAUACUAUGGAAAUGUAUGUAGACAUAAGCUUUUUAAAACACAAUGUGUUUUGGAAGAUAUAUCUUGCAAGAAACACUUUGUCACAACAGGAUUUCACAUAAGUAUAAAAUAAUGUAUUUAUCGUACUUGUGUAAUGUAGCUCUCUGAGACACCGUCUUGUCUUUCUGUAUAUUUAUUUGGAAUAAAGUCCACUGACAACUCAACGAGUAACCACG